UUCCCUACGGGGGGCAGCAGUAGGGAAUUUUCGUCAAUGGGCGCAAGCCUGAACGAGCAAUGCCGCGUGAACGAGGAGGGUCUUCGGAUCGUAAAGUUCUGUUGAAGGGGAAAAAGAGCGGAGAGGGGAAAUGAACUCCGAUUGAUAUUACCCUUCGAGGAAGUCACGGCUAACUGCGUGCCAGCAGCCGCGGUAAUACGUAGGUGGCGAGCGUUAUCCGGAAUGAUUGGGCGUAAAGGGUGCGUAGGCGGCCGGCUAAGUCUGGAGUGAAAGGUACCGGCUCAACCGGUACAGGCUCUGGAAAG
Molecule: ribosomal RNA, 305 nt
Filed under: uncultured bacterium
Lineage: Bacteria
Description: bacterial SSU rRNA
Rfam family: Bacterial small subunit ribosomal RNA
Source: RNAcentral